GUUCACUGGGGGCACCAUCGAGCCUCUCCCCAAACAGCACAGGCCCCGCCCGUCACGUGCAGCGCCCGAGGCUCUUGGAUGGAUUUCUCCCACGCCUCCGGCCCACAGGACAGAGAUCUCCACAGUCCUUCUCCUGUCUGCCCCAGAGGCUGGGCCCCAGGUACCCACAGCCCAACAGGGGCUUCUGGGGCCUGAGGACGGACCCCAGUGGGAGGUGGUAGAUUAGGUACCCCACGAGGCACAGCCUGCAUCUGAUUCAUCUCUGUGUAUCCAGUACCCAGCACGUGUCCACACAGAGGAGCAGCUCAGGGAACCUUCAGUGGAUAGAUGGGACUCCAUUGCAGGGAACCGAGUCUGAGGAAAUGACUCUCAGAUGAGAAAAAGCUUUGUGCACACAGAUGUCCAUCGUGGCAUGACUUGCAGCACUGGGAAACUGGAAACCAAUUGUCAAGGACCGGUUGGAAAAUGGCAUGAGCCAGGCCACCACACAUGGUCAUGAAGACACGGUGACAGUAAAGUGCAGAAAUGCUUAGUGACAGCAAGGGAGAUGGAACCAGGGGAAACCUACAUGGCGUAAGAUUUCAGUUAUGUUUAAAACAUUCACAGGAAAAAAGGAUCAAAAGAAAAUAUGGGCUGGGCGCAGUGGCUCAUGUCUGUAAUCCCAGCAGUUUGGGAGGCUGAGGUGGAUUGCUUGAAUCCAGGAGUUCGAGACCAGCCUGGGCAACAUGGCGAGAUCCUGUCGCUACAAAACAUAAAAAUUAGCUGGGUGUGGUGGUGCAUGCCUGUAGUUCCAAGCUACUUGGGAGGCUGAGGUGGGAGGAUUGGUUGAGCCUGGGAGACCAAGGUUGCAGUGAUCUGAGAUUGCACCACUGCACUCCAGCCUGGGCAACAGAGCUGUCUCAAAAAAAAAAACAAACCAAUGUGUAUGUGUGUGUGUGUGUGUGUGUGUGUG
RNAcentral lists this long non-coding RNA (952 nucleotides) under Homo sapiens (human). RNAcentral's name for it is "HSALNT0002769". The record is from RNAcentral. Lineage: Eukaryota; Metazoa; Chordata; Mammalia; Primates; Hominidae.